This 393-nucleotide unclassified non-coding RNA is filed under the name Hevea brasiliensis (rubber tree). Lineage: Eukaryota; Viridiplantae; Streptophyta; Magnoliopsida; Malpighiales; Euphorbiaceae. The record is from RNAcentral.
UCUUGUCGAGUCUCUGUCAAUGCUGCAGAUCCUGGGGCAGUGCAAACCAAUAUCAUGAGAGAAAUUCCUUCUUGUCUUUCACAUGUGACAUUUGUACUAUUGAAACUUCUCGGCCUUUUGCAGUCACCUAAUAAUGGGGUUAGCUCUAUUCUUGAUGCUGCCCUUGCACCACCAGAAACAUCUGGGGUAUACUUUUUUGGUGGAAAGGGCAGGACUCUGAACUCUUCUGCACUUUCACAUGAUAUCAGGCUUGCGGAGAAACUUUGGACCACAUCAUGCAAUCUCUUUGAAGAGAUGAAACUUGCUUCCGAGGACAAAGAGGACAGUUUUCAUGAACGACUGGAAGAAGAUAGAGUUUGCUUGCACGAUGAGUAGGUAGAUGCAUGCUUGCAG